UGAUAAAGGAAAAGUUGAUGCAGUUGGUUAGAGAAAGCAAGAGACUAAGAAGAGAGAGGAAGAAAGCUAGGAUUAACAACACUGAGAUUGGUGGCUCUAGUGAUGAUUUUGAGUCCGAUGGUGAUGAUGAUGAUGACUAUGAUGACGGUUUUCAGAGUUUGUUUGAGCCUGAAGAUUUUUAUGUGGAUGAUGAUGGUGAUAAGAAGGGUGAGAUAAUUGACUACAGGGAGAAAGGGCAGUUUUGGAAUGUUGAUGCUCAUUCUGUUCAUGAUGGCGGGAAGCAACAAAUGGAACCUUGGUAGAAAAGAAUGUCAAGUGUUCAGAUCUUACCAGAAAAUAAUCAAAGUGCGAGGAUAGUAUUAUGGCAGUUAUAUGAAUGACUGUAAAGACGAAGUCUCACAGUCUGUAUCUAUAUAUAUGAAGCAAAUGGCCCUUCACCUAAAGGGUAAUUUUUCUGAAAUACCUUACAUUAUCCUGAGGUGAAAAGUUUACUUAAUUCAAAACCACUUCCCUUCACUUUCCUGUUAAUAAAAUUGGCUUAUGGAAGAAGCAGAUUGUAGGCAACCUACAUAAUUGAAGCUUAAUACAAGGUAUCUAAAUUUGUGCUGAAUUUGUUUUUCAUAUUCUCUUAUUUUAUUCGAGGAAUUAUAACUGUUUUGUUUAAAAGUUUUCCUAGAUGAGUAAUCAGUAGUCAUUUUACUUGGUCUUCUCUAGUAGUUUGGAAACUAAAGGUGUAACCCUAAUCUUUUCAAUGUAUUAGAUUAUCAUCUUUGAUAAAAUGGAGCGUGUUCUAUGGAUCAUUCUAAAUUUGGUUGUAUCCUAGUUUAUGCUCCGAAAAUGAUGAAUUGGCUUUCGAUGACUACAUAGUACGAGCCCUACUACGUGGACAGAUACGGGUCAAACAUUUUUCUAAUUCUGUUACCACAGUAACCAGGAUUUGGUUCUAUGCAGAGGCUUUUCUUCCUGACCUACUGGUGGAUUUGGGAAAAGUCAAGUCUAAAACUUACAAGUGCAUAAUUUCACCACAAAUUUUCUCAGAGAUGGCCUGCUUGCUUAUGAAGGGUUGUUUAUGUCUUUGCGAAAGUGUUGGACUCCUUUGUUGCCCUUACCUUAUUAAAUGUUUCCUUCCCUUGCAGGCCAUGAAGUGGCACAGAUAAGUGAUCAAGCUCUUCAUGGAGGCAACAUAUGCAUAAAGAUAGCUGAUUGGUGUAUGUCCAGUGCAGCAACUGAGUUCUCAACCUCUGCAUCAAUGGCUCCAUUACCUUCGUGCUGUUCAGCUAUGUAUAUCUACUCAAAAAGUGGUUUCACUUGGAAUUUCCUUUCUCGAGCGUGAGCAUAGGUAUGGAGAAUGGAAUUACCUUUCACUUUUUACAUUGAUUCAAGUCGCUUUGAUAUAUUUCGACUACGCUGUUACUCCUAAUGUUUGAUUAACAUCUGUGAAUGAAAUAGUUGAUACACUAUUUCAUUACUACGAAACACAACAAAUUGUUGUUGGCCAACACUAGAACUCAUCAUUACUGCCAAAACUAGAACUCGUCAAGCAUAUAUAUACACACUAUUUGAUUAACAAUUUAUGGACCGUUGGAUUUCCAAAGGUAAAAAAAAUUUAAAAAUCUUAUUUAAUUUCAGCCGUUGUAUCUGAGAUCAACAGUUCACGUUAUUCGGUUUUAUAAAUUAUAAAAAAAAAGAGUUUAAAAUUCUGAAAUGUUACCGUUGUGCCACGUGACAUAAUUUGGGAUGUUGGAAUUCAAUUUUUUUUAAUCCAAUAGCAGAGAUUAAUUAUGUGAACAAAAAAUUAAAAAUUGUAAAAAAUUAAUAAAAAUUUUGAAAAAUUGAAAGAAAAAAUUGAUUUUACUUAUCUAUAAAUACAUUCUCAUUAUCUUCUACCUUACACCACAAUUUCAUAUUUUGUCACGUGGCGCAACGAGAACGAUUAAAAAUCUUAUUCGAAAUUACAAAUAAAAUUAUUUUGUAUUAUUUUAUAAAUUAAAGAAAUACUAAUAUUUUAUUACCUAUUGUUAGGGUGUAGGGGUGGAGAUGCAAAAGAUAAUUACUGUUCAUUAAAGACAAUUAUUGUUUACUGGGUAUAUUAAAUAGUGAAUAGUCCUAGGGACUUAACAACGGUGCAAAUGGGGUUUCUUGUCGACAAAUGAACACGUGACAUUGAGUAACUCCACCGUGGUGGAUUGCUCGGGGGACAGGCGAGAGAAAAGGGCCCGAGGCCCUAUGGAUUCACUCCAGCGUGAAGGAGCUCGAGUGGAGGUGGAGGCUUGAGCUCCGGGCCUGUGAAGAAUUGCCAGCCCUUGAGCCCGAGUGGAUUGGCUGUCAGGGCUGACGUCAGCCUUGCAGCAGGCCCUUUUUUUAUUUUUUUCUGUCAGGCGCGUCGCCCGACAUCUUUUCAAAAAAAUCAGCCCACUUUUCAGACUGAAAUGUUACUGUUGGGAAGUCACGUGGCUUCCCACGGUCCGUUUGAUCUCAACGGCUCUUUAACUUGGACCGUUCGAUCUCAACGGUAAAAAAAAAUCUUAUUUAAAAUCUACCGUUCGAUCUGAGUUCAACGGUCAAUAUUAAUAUGCUUUAUAAAUAAAAAGAAAAAAUAGUUUUAAAAUUAAGAAAAGUUACUGUUGUGACACUAGGCACAAUCUGGAGUGUUGUAAUUCAAUUUUUUUUAAAUCCAACGACAGAGAUUAAUUAUUUAAAUUAAAAAAUUAAAAAAAUUGUAAAAAAUCCGAAAAAAUAUCUGAAAAUUUAAAAAAAAAUGUUUCUACUUUUCUAUAAAUGUCUUCUCAUUAUCAUCUACCUUACACCACAAUUUCAGAUUUUCUCAACUACUUUCAAUCACAUUCCUAUCUUUCUCUCAAGGUUUCAAUAUGAUUUUUUUCAAUAAAAUGACUAUUGAUGCAUGUACGAAUUGGACGCUUCUUGAAGAUGUUGCAUUGUGUACUAAUUGGGUUGAAAUUACUUAUAGUUCGCGUACGGGUAAUGAGAUGCAAUUGCGAGAAAUGUGGAGUCUUAUUCAUAUCAAUUAUCUUGAAAAAAUGGGUGGGAGUAGAACCAAAGAAUCAAUGUCUAGUUGUUAGAAAUUACUUAGCCAAUCAUUUAGUAUUUGGAGAGACGUCUUGGCACAAGCUAGUAGUAAUCUUCGAAGUGGGGAAAAUUACACGGAUCAGGUAACAAUAUAUUAUUUAUUUGUUUGUACUAUACCCAAAUUUACAUUGUAAUUAUUUGUUUGUAUUAUUUAUUUGUUAUCUACUUUAAUUAUAAUUAUUUGUUUGUAUUAUUUAUUUGUUACAUACUUUGAUUAUAAUUUUUUGUUUGUAUUAUAUAUUUGUUUCAUACUUUUUAUUAUAAUUAUUUAUUUGUUACCUACUUUGAUUAUAAUUAUUUCUUCUCCCCCAUUAUGUAGUUAAUUCAAGCACAAGCUUGGUAUGGUGCCAAAACCAAAAGCAAAAAUAAAUCAUUCAACCGGUGAGAAUGUUGGAAUAUUAUCAAAGAUUGUCCUAAAUUCAGAGUUGUGCAUGUCGGUCCAGAAGUUGUCAUGAACAACACCCAUCUACACUCUACACCUGAUAAUGGCUCGCAUAAAGAUGAUGGAGAAGAAGUGCCCGAAACGCCCAUCCCUGAACAAGCGUCGGGUUCGACCCGUUAUCCAAUUAGGUCUCAAUGUAAGAAGGCUUCAAAGAGAAAAGGAAGUGCUUCCAAGCAUGAUUAUGCAAAGUACAUGGAAGAACUUACUCGCCAUAGUAAAUUGACUUUGGCACGGGAAAUAGCGAAAUUUGAGGCUAAUAAUGCUAGAGAUGAGGCAAAAGUUGUAGCUGUUGAGAGAGAAUUUCAAGCUAAUGAGAAAGAAAGAUAGCUACUUAGGCAAGAAAGGGAACUGGUUAGAGAAGAAAGAAUGGCUCAAUGAGAUCAUGAGAUUAUGAACACGCAUUUAGAAGGGAAGUCUUCAAAUUGUAAAUAUUUUUGGAAGUCGAAGAAAGAGGAUGUAGUGCGUAGGAGGCGUGCAAGAGAAGCGAGAGGAAGAGGAGAUAGUCCUAGCACGACAAGAGAAAAUCAUCCUAGCACCACAAAUUGGUUAAGUGAUGAUGAUUAGAGUACUUUUGUAAUCGGAGCCCAUAGUUUUCUAAUCGCAUUGAGUUGUAGUUUAUUAUUUAUUGAAUAGAGUAUUUAUGUUGUUUCCAAUUUAUUACAUAAAACUCACGAAAUAAAACACACCAAAUAAAAUUACAUAGACAUACCAAAUAAUAAAAAAACACACUAAAUGAACUUAAUUAUCUUCAGCUUGUUUCAAUACCCACUGGUGCUCUAUCAAGUCAUUUUGCCGGGCAUUGUGCAUGUCUAGCCUUUGAAAUGCAGUAUAUCGUUGAAUGAUCAUUUCAUUGUAACGUUCAUCCCUUUCUAAUGACUCAUGUUGCAUGGGCUCAUCGGUUGCGUCAUGAGCACAAUAUAUAUGUGUUCUUGAAUUGUUCAUCGUGUCUGGCUCAUAUUCAUCAACAGCUUUAUAAUCGUACUCAUCUUCCACAAUCAUGUUGUGAAGAAUGAUGCACGUCAUCUUGAUGGAUCGAAGCGACUCUACAUCAAACAAUCUGGCAGCACCCCUAUCGAUCGCCCAGCGAGCUUGGAGAAUACCGAAACAACGCUUCACAUCCUUCCCGCACCCCUCUUGACAGCUUGCAAAGUGUUUUUCCUUUGCACUUCGCGGACGUGGCACUGUUUUGACAAAUGUUGACAACCUUGGGUAAAUGCCAUCACCUAAAUAGUAUGGCCUGUCGUACAUACGUCCGUUGACCUCAUAUGUGACUUUUGGUGCCUUUCCUUGCAGGACAUCGUUGAACACUGGGGAUUCGGUAAGGACGUUGAGGUCAUUUUGAGCUCCCGGAACCCCGAAAAAUGCGUGCUAAAUCCAUGUAUCAAAAGAUGUCACCGUCUCCAAAAUGAUACUUUUUGCUCCUUUUUUGUCUCCAUAAGCGUCUUGCCAUGCACUUGGACAGUUUUUCAAUGUCCAAUGCAUACAAUCAAUGCUCCCAAUCAUCCCAGGAAAACCUCGUAUCUCGGCCUUCUUCAGAAGCCUUUCCAAGUCCAUGUGAGUAUGUUGCCGGAGGUACUCUGCGGUGUAAAUAGAUUCGAUUGCUCCGCAAAACCUCAUCAGGGGCUGAAGAAUGGUUGAUUUCCCUAUCCUCGCUAUCUCAUCCACUUGGUCUGCAGAUGCUCCAUAUGCAUGCAAGCAUCCGCAGCGCAGCAGUAAUUUUUUGCUCGGAAAAGAGACCCAUAGUACCAAAAGCAUCAUUCUUUUGCACAAAGUAAAAAUCAUGGUUGCAAACAGUAAUCAAGAUUUUGUUGAACAAAUAUCGUUCCAUUCUAAAACGACGUCUAAAGUACGUAUCAGGAAAUGCAAUGUUAUGGAUAAAAUAAUCGUCCAACAGCUCCACACCUCGUCGUUGCCUGUUUCUAUCAAGGUUUUUGGAACGGGUGGGCCUGCAUAUCUGAGCCACAGCUUGGAUGACUCGAUAGGAAUGUGAGUCUCUGGCCAUUCUUACUUCGUCAUCUCUCCUUCCCCGCUCUUCAUCCUCUUCUUUCUCAUUUUGGGCUAUAUGGAGAUUCAACAUUCCUUCAGAUAGUGCCACGUGGCAUGUCGUUAUUCGUUAAAAAUCUGAUCGAAAUCUAUCCUAAAAGAUUCUGAAAAGAUAACGACACGUGGCACAACGACAUAGAAUAAAAAUCUUAUCGAAAUCAAUCACCAAUAAUUAUUUUUUCGGAUAAUGACACAUGGCGUAACGAGAACGAUUUAAAAUCUGAUCGAAAUCUGUCUUGAAAGAUUCUGAAAAGAUAACGACACGUGGCACAAUGACAUUGGAUAAAAAUCUUAUUGAAAUCUAUGACCAAUAAUAGUCGUUUUGGGUAAAUGACACGUGGCGCAACGAGAACGAUUUAUAAUAUCUUAUCCGAAAUUACAAAUAAAAUUAUUUACUAUUAUUUUGUAAAAAAAAAAAAUACUAUUUUAUUGCUAUUGCCAGGACUAUUCAAGUGCAACGGUGGAGAUGCAAAAGACAAUUACUGUUCAUUAAGGGCAAUUACUGUUAACAAGGUGGAUUGAAUAGUGGAUUGCUUGGGGGAGGGCUCCUACAUUGGAGUUGCUCUUAUAUCUUCACAGUCUGUACAUCCAUCCAUCGCCCCCACUGAAAAUAUCAAAUUAUUAUUUUUGCAUCGUUAUCUCUCGCCCACUCUCUUUCUCUCUCGUCUGUUUCUCUCUCCUCUCUCAUUCACACACACAAUUUGAUAACAGUUUUUUACGCAAUUGUCUGCCCUUCCACUUUCCGUAUCCUCCUAUUUUGUAUGAUCACGGCUAAAUUAUAUUAAUAUUUUAUAUUAUAUUUUAUAAAAUAAUAAAAUAGUAAUAUAAAAUAUUGAGCUCCACGUACAUUCACGGAGGGAGAAAAUAGAGAAAUAGGGGUUGAAGGAGGAGCAAUUUUUUCCCUUUUCUUUAGUUUUCUUUCCAGGCUUUGCAAUUCAAAUCAUGCCAACAGCUGGGUAGCUGUUGCCUGAUUGGUUGAUUGAUUGAAAUCCAUUCACUUCCUUUGCAAAAAAGAAAAGCCCAAAUCUCAGUUUUUCAUGCAGGUGCUUUUUGUUUCCUCCCUUCCGCUAAUCUCUCUCAAUUUUUAUUUUUUUCCCCCAAUUUUUUACCUAGGGUUUCGGGGUUUCAAUUUUAGUUUUUUGUUGUUGUUGUUGUUGUUGUUGUUUUUAUUGUUUUGAAUAGUUUGAUUUGAAAACGCUCAGACAUGGUUUCAAAGUCGUGUCCUUUCUGGUUGGGGUGUUUGUGUUUGUGUGUAUGUGAUCAAAGUAUAUGCAAAUUUUAUUAAUAUUUUGUUAGAAUUAGUAGUUGAGCUUCCCAUAAAUUUGUUUUCUUUGGCCGUAUGUAGUUUUUUUUUUUUUUUGUAGAUUUUUAUAGAUGUCAGAGGAACUGUAGACUUUCAAUAACAUGUAUAGAUUCUUCUAUCUGUUAUGUUGCCAUAUCUAUAUGUUCUUGUUUGUUCAUUUCAUGGGAAUUGGGUUUUUCUUUUCGGUUUUUUUAUAUCGGUACAUAUGUUUAUGUGGGAAAUGAAUUAUGAUCAAUCAGCAAGUCUGUGGGUGUGUUUGGUGAUUAUAAAGUGUGCUGGAAUUGUAUUGAAGAUGUUGAAAUUGUGAACUUUGAAUGCAGAUAGAGCUUGUCUUACCAGCAGGGCUAUCAAUUCGAUUAUAUGGCGGAUGAAGGGGACAUGUCUGAUUUUGUUGAGGAUGUGGAGGAAGAAAAUCAAGGUGGAGAUAUGGGUCUUGAUGAAUAUGACAUGGUUUGUUUCCAUCAACUCUUGGCUCCCAUUGUUCAAUCCUUUGUUUUUUCCAGUUGUACUAAAUGGACUUGAAAUUCCUUGUUCUUCAGUUUGAGCAGCUUACCAAAGUGUCAGAUACGUCAUCUGCACAAGCAAGAAAGGGAAAGGACAUUCAAGGUAUUCCAUGGGACAGAUUGAGCAUAACAAAGGAAAAAUACAGAUUGACGAGGCUAGAACAGUACAGAAAUUAUGAGAACAUCCCUUUAUCUGGGGAAGCUGUGGACAAGGUUUUCUUCUUGUUCUCGAGCAUUUUCUUCAUUUCAUUUCCCCAAUUAGCAAGUCACUAUUGAAGUUAGCAGACGUCACUAAUAAUAUGUGUUAACUUUGACCAGGAGUGCAAACAAAUGCAGAAAGGUGGAAACUACUAUGACUUCUUCCAUAAUACAAGACUGGUUAAACCUACAAUCCUUCAUUUCCAGGUUUGUGGACUUGCAAUGCCAUAGCUGUUUAUUAUUUUUACAUUUUUUUAUGGUAUACUUCACCACUAAUCCCUCUCUCUCUCUCUCUCUCUCUCUCUCUCUCUCUCUCUCAUGGGUUUUGUGUGUAUGAACUUAUUGCCUUGGAUAAUUUUGCUUUAGUUAAAUGAUACUUUUUUGUACUCUAACAAGAUAAAGUUAUCCACUCCUUUUAGCUGUUUUCGCAAGCUAAUGUUCAUAAAACUUUUCCACGAUAAUGUUCACGAAGUUUACCUUUAUAUCCUACUUGACAUUCUUUAUUGAUUUUUACAUGCAGCUGAGAAAUUUGGUUUGGGCCACUUCAAAGCAUGAUGUCUACUUCAUGUCCCACUUUUCAGUCAUGCAUUGGUCUUCUCUAUCUGGGAAUUUGUCUGAGGUUCUCAAUUUUGCAGGACAUGUUGCCCCAACAGAGGUAGUACAACCUCCUGUACAUAAUGUGUAUGAUCUAGUUUCUUUGAAAGAAAAUAAAGUAAUCAAAUGGAUUGUUUUUCAUUGUUUUUCAGCUUUUGUUGGUUUAUGCUCUCCCCCUCCCCCUCCCAAUUAUGUUACAUAUGUUGAAGUGUUCCUUAUAAUUGCUAUUUGUCCUCUACUUGUGUCCAUAGUUUAAGUUUGCCAAGUUCUAUGGUCUUGCAGAAACAUGCAGGAAGUUUAUUGGAGGGUUUUAUGCAGACUCAGAUAAGCACACUGGCAGUCAAGGACAAUUUUCUUGUUGCUGGUGGCUUUCAAGGAGAGCUUACUUGUAAAGUGAGUUUCUAAUGUUUACAUCUCAAUAGCGUGUUGACAGUGCAUGUCUGUUUGAUGAGAGUUAAGUAUUUCCACAUUAGACGUAUUGUUUGGUAAAUCUGACAAUUAGACUUGUCUGGGAUCGUGCCAUUCUGAUGAUUUUGCUUUGCCAUUGACUUGUCAAGAAAAGAGCUAAUGCCAUUAGCUGGCUGGAAAUUUGGUUACUGUAUUUGAUCUUGGAAAAUUACUUUUUUUUUUUUGGGUAGAGAUAUGACCUCGCUACCAGAGUUUGAACUCCAGUUUAGUUUGUCCUUGACCAAUCAGAACAACUGGCAAUAUCGGCUUUCAGGGGAGUCAGACAUGAAUAGUUUGGUUUUUAUAUUAUGAUCCAUGUUGUGUGGUGCUCGUAAUUUCUGUCUUGAAAUUAAUACUUUCUACCUAGGAAAACAAAAAUGAAUUUUGUAAUAAUAUUAUUAACUUUGUGAUGGGGGUUGUUAAUAUUAUUUUUUUACAUGUUGUGUUGAGUGUGAAUACAACUCCGCCUAUGUCUUACAUGGCCGGUCCCAAGCCCGGAUAAAGGAGGAGGGGGAGGGCGUCAGGUAGUCGACAGCCGGCACUCCAUGAUCACGUCGAAUCCUUAUGAAAAUGAAUCCAGAACAAAAUCGCGCCAAAGCUAGGGCGUCACCCGUAAGUGGCGCGCUGUGUGGCCCGAGCACAGUGAUAAGUGAGCAAGGGUCGCUGUAUCUCCAUCGGCACCCGGAUGCAGUGUUAAAUGAGCAAGGGGGUCAUAGAAACUUCUUUUCGAACGACUCAACUCAAAGUUGUUUGGGAGCAUAUGCUCCUAUCAACUUUACCCGGGACACACAAAAGAAGUACUUUGAUCCUAUUAGACGGAGGAGGGUGAAGAAGCUAGGACAGAAGGGUAGAGUUCAAGAGAGCAAAAUGCGUUUAGGAACGUGGAAUAUAGGAACCUUAACGGGAAAAUCUAUGGAAGUAGUGGAAGUUAUGGUGAGGAGAAGGAUAAAUAUUAUGUGCCUACAAGAAACUAAGUGGGUUGGUAGUAAGGCAAAGGAUCUAGAAAACUCAGGGUUUAAACUUUGGUAUUCGGGCACAAAUAGAACGAGAAACGGUGUUGGCAUCAUCGUGGACAAGACCUUGGUACAAGAUGUUGUAGAUGUCAAGAGGGUAGGAGAUAGAAUCAUGGCAAUCAAGAUUGUAAUAGGACAAGAACUUAUCAAUGUGAUUAGUGCGUACGCACCUCAAGUAGGGUUGGAUACGAGUUCGAAGGAGAAAUUUUGGGAAGAUCUUGGAGACUUGGUGCAAGGAAUUGCUCAGACGGAGAAGUUAUUUAUAGGAGGAGAUUUAAAUGGACACGUGGGUAGGGAGACAGGCAACUAUGGAGGUUUUCAUGGUGGCCAUGGUUUUGGGGAGAGAAACGAGGAUGGGGAAGCUAUCUUGGAUUUUGCAAUGGCAUAUGAUCUCUUCUUAGCCAACACCUUCUUUAAGAAGAGAGAAGAACAUGUAAUCACCUACAAGAGUGGGUCGUCAAAAAACACAAAUAGAUUUUCUUCUAAUGAGGAAAGGGGAUCGUAUAACUUGUAAGGAUUGCAAAGUUAUACCAGGAGAGAGCGUGGCUAAUCAACAUCGCUUGUUGGUGAUGGAUGUACAUAUCAAAAGAGUAAGACAAAAGAACAAGACUUGGAAGUGCCCAAGGACUAGAUGGUGGAAUCUAAAAGAAGAAAAACAAGCCAUUUUCAAAGAGAAGGUAAUCACCCAAUGUGUGUGGGAUAGAGAGGGGGAAGCUAGCCAAAUGUGGGAUUCCAUGGCUAGUUGUAUCCGAAAAGUAGCAAAAGAGGUAUUAGGAGAGUCCAAGGGCUUUGCCCCACACCAAAAGGAAUCUUGGUGGUGGAAUGAGGAGGUACAAACAAAGGUGAAGGCUAAGAAGGAAUGUUGUAAAGCCUUAUACAAGGAGAGGACCGAUGAAAAUGGUGAAAGGUAUAGAAAAGCGAAGCAAGAGGCGAAGAAAGCUGUCAGAGAAGCUAAGUUAGCGGCUUACGACGAUAUGUAUAAACGACUAGAUACCAAAGAAGGGAGAGUUGGAUAUCUAUAAACUAUCUAGAGCAAGGGAAAAGAAGACAAGGGACCUAAACCAAGUGAGGUGCAUCAAGGAUGAGGAUGGAAAGGUUCUUGCUACAGAGAACGCGGUUAAAGACAGAUGGAGAGGUUAUUUUCAUAAUCUUUUCAAUGAAGGACAUGAAAUGAGUGCUUCUUUAGGGGAGUUGAGUAACUCAGAAGAGUGUAGAAACUACUCUUUUUAUCGUCGAAUCCGGAAGGAAGAAGUGGUUGUAGCUUUGAAGAAGAUGAAGCAUAAAAAAAGCAAUAGGCCCAGACGAUAUACCAAUCGAAGUGUGGAAACUUUUGGGAGAGACAGGUAUAACAUGGCUCACUGACCUUUUCAAUAGGAUUUUGAAAACGAAGAAGAUGCCAAAUGAGUGGCGAACGAGCACUUUGGUGCCUAUCUACAAGAAUAAGGGCGACGUACAAAAUUGCAUGAACUAUAGGGGUAUUAAGCUAAUGAGUCAUACAAUGAAGCUCUGGGAGAGAGUCAUUGAGCAUAGAUUGAGACAAGAGACACGGGUUUCGGACAACCAAUUCGGGUUCAUGCCAGGGCGCUCAACCAUGGAGGCAAUCUAUCUCUUACGAAGAUUGAUGGAAAGAUAUAGAGAUGGGAAAAAGGAUUUACACAUGGUCUUUAUAGAUUUGGAAAAAGCGUAUGAUAGGGUCCCAAGAGACAUUCUUUGGAGGAUUUUAGAGAAGAAAGGAGUACGAGUAGCAUAUAUCCAAGCUAUAAAGGAUAUGUAUGAAGGAGCAAAGACUGCCGUAAGAACUCAUGAAGGACAAACCGAAAGCUUUCCCAUAACUGUAGGAUUACAUCAAGGCUCAUCCUUAAGUCCUUACCUUUUUGCGUUGGUAAUGGAUGAGUUAACAGGACAUAUUCAAGAUGAUAUUCCUUGGUGUAUGCUUUUUGCAGACGAUAUAGUGUUGAUAGAUGAAACUCGGGAAGGGGUAAAUGCAAAGCUUAACCUUUGGAGAGAAGUGUUGGAAUCUAAAGGUCUUCGCCUAAGCCGAUCAAAGACAGAAUAUAUGGAGUGCAAGUUCAGUGCAAAUGGAGGCCAAAACGAGUUAGGGGUGAGGAUCGGAGAUCAAGAAAUACCAAAGAGCGACCGUUUUCGUUACCUAGGAUCUAUCUUGCAAAAGAACGGAGAAUUAGAUGGAGAUCUCAACCAUAGAAUACAAGCUGGAUGGAUGAAGUGGAAGAGUGCAUCCGGCGUGUUAUGUGACCGCCGUAUGCCACUGAAGCUCAAGGGAAAAUUUUAUAGGACGGCAAUAAGGCCGGCGAUGCUGUAUGGCACAGAAUGUUGGGCGGUGAAACAUCAGCACGUACACAAAAUGGGUGUAGCGGAGAUGAGGAUGCUUCGUUGGAUGUGUGGGCACACGAGAAAGGAUAAGAUUAGGAAUGAGGAUAUCCGGGGUAAAGUAGGAGUAGUCGAAAUUGAAGGAAAGAUGAGAGAAAAUCGGUUACGGUGGUUUGGACAUGUGCAAAGAAGGCCUACUGACGCUCCGAUUAGAAGAUGCGACUAUGGGACAGAGGUUCAGGGCCGAAGGGGUAGAGGAAGACCUAGGAAAACUUUGGAAGAGACUCUAAGAAAAGACUUAGAGUACUUGGAUCUAACGAAGGACAUGACACAGGAUCGAGCACAAUGGCGUUCUAAGAUUCAUAUAGCCGAUCCCACCCAGUGACUUGGAUUUUCCAAGUCUCCAACCGAGAAGUUUUCCUCACUCGGAAAAUUAAGGGAACACUACCCCAACCUACAUGCUCCACUCAGAAAGCUUCAACAUACAAGCUUCAACAAAAGAAAAUUCAAAGAACUUAGCGAAUAAGGCUUUGGUGUAUUUAACACAAUACGUUGAAAUGAAGGAAAGCUUAUUUAUUGAUAUCCCCGAUAAGCUACAAAUAUGUACAUAUACAUGAGUCAAAAUAAACACAAAAGAGGGAGCCUUCACAAAGGUUGCUUAGGAGAAGUCUCAGCAAUCGGUAGAGCCCCAGAAAGAGAAGGCACCGGAGGGGGAUCAUUUGGAGCCUCAGUACUGGACAGAACCCUAGAAGGAGAGGCAUCAGAGGUUGAUCAUUUGGAGCUUCAUUACGCGGUACAGCCCCAGAAGACGAAGGCAAUAAAUGCCUUUGGAACAAACCCACAAAUCUCUGAUGAUCAAGUAAAACCUGACCAUCAGUUUCCUUCAUCUGGUCAAGCUUCCUCUUCAUGUUUGUAGCAUAGUCAUGUGCGAGCCGGUGCAACUGUUUAUUCUCAUGCUUGAGCCCUCUAAUCUCCUGUUUAAGACUCAUCACUUCAGCCGCCAAUGAUUCAACUUGGCGGGUUCGAGCAAAUAGGCGUUGGGCCAUAUUAGACACAGAACCUGCACACUGAACACUGAGAGCCAGCGAAUCCUUAACAGCUAACUCAUCAGACCGUUUGGAAAGUAGUCUAAUAUCUUUGGGAGUGAGAAGGUUCCUGGCCACCACCGCAGCGGUCAUAUCAUUCUUCAUCACGGAAUCCCCAACGGUAAGAGGACCAGUAGGGGAGACGAAGGAUGGGCGCCAUAUGUUGUCUGGAGAAGGCGGGGCUGCCUCUUCAACAAGGUUCAAGUCAAAACGACGGUCGGAGGGGCCAGACAUUUUCAAAGGUGUUGAAGAGAGAAGAGGUCGGACAAAUCAAGAUCUUAGAAGUGCAAGAAUGAAGCUUCUACUGGUGGAGAUUCAAGUGUGCUUUGGAACUUAAUGCCAGCCCCUAUAAAAAAUCUGCACUCGACGGAGCUUUCAGAAAUCGAAGAGGCGCCUGCUCAGAAAUCGAAGAGGCGUUUGCUUUCUCAAAAGCUGGGCUGCUUAGAGAUCACGAGGGUUGAUCUCAGAAAUCGAAGAGGCGUUUGCUUUCUCAAAAGUUGGGCUGCUCGCUCAAAGACCACAAAGGCCGAUCUCAGAAAUCGAAGAGGCGCUCGCUUUCUCAAAAGUUGGGCUCCCCAGAGACCACGAGGGCCGAUCUCAGAAAUCGAAGAGGCACCUACUUUUCCAGCCUUGUCAACACCUGUCACACGCACACUCAGCUUUGCGGAAAUUAUGGGCAUUCUAUCGAAGACUUCUGGGGAAGUAGAAAACACAUGAAUCUUACUGUUCAAUCACCCACUUGCCACACGCAACAAUAGCUCAUGGGUACCACAGAAAACUUUGCCAAAGUUCUCUGCCAAAGUUGAGCACGUGAAGCUUGCAGCUCCCACUACAUCGCUCUGACCAAGAAGGGUAAAAGAAUAGCAAAUAAAUAGCACUAACAAAGUUUAAACCCAUAAAUUUUGAAGGUCUAGCUACCAUAUUAUUACCCACAAGGGUAAAGGAACAGUACCACUGCUGGAUAAUUGGAAAGUCCCUGUGUGUCAACCUCUGUGCUUCGUGGCAAGGUAGACUAGCAAACAUGCCCAACCUUUACUCACAUUCGAGAAAACACUCCCAAUAAGAUUGCUUGCUCCAAAAUCGAAGAGGCACCGUCCUCCGAAUCUCGAGAGCCAGACUCCCAACAUGACUACUUUCUUAAAAAUCGAAGAGAAGCUUCGUGGCAAGGUAGACUAGCAAACAUGCCCAACCUUUACUCACAUUCGAGAAAACACUCCCAAUAAGAUUGCUUGCUCCAAAAUCGAAGAGGCACCGCCCUCCGAAUCUCGAGAGCCAGACUCCCAACAUGAUUACUUUCUCAAAAAUCGAAGAGACACUGCUCCCCGAAUCUUCGAGAGCCAGACCCCCAGCAUGAUUGCUUUCUCAAAAAUCGAUGAGGCAUCGUUCUCCGAAUCAAUCGAAGAGGCGCUCGCUUUCUCAAAAGCUGGGCUGCUCAGAGACCACGAGGGCCAAUCUCAGAAAUCGAAGAGGCACCUACUUUUCUAGCCUUGUCAGCACCUGACACACGCACACUCAGCUUUGCAGAAAUUAUGGGCAUUCUGUCGAAGACUUCUGGUGAAGUAGAAAGCACAUGAAUCUUACUGUUCAAUCACCCACUUCCCACACGCAACAAUAGCUCAUGGGUACCACAUAUAACUUUGCCAAAGUUCUCUGCCAAAGUUGAGCACGUGAAGCUUGCAGCUCCUACUACAUCGCUCUGACCAAGAAAGGUAAAAGAAUAGCAAAGAAACAGCACUAACAAAGUUUAGACACAUAAAUUUUGAAGGUCUAGCUACCAUAUUAUUACCCACAAGGGUAAAGGAACAGUACCACUGCUGGAUAAUUGGAAAGUCCUUGUGUGUCAACCUCUGUGCUUCGUGGCAAGGUAGACUAGCAAACAUGCCCAACCUUUACUCACAUUCGAGAAAACACUCCCAACAAGAUUGCUUGCUCCAAAAUCGAAGAGGCACCGUCCUCCGAAUCUCGAGAGCCAGACUCCCAACAUGACUACUUUCUCAAAAUCGAAGAGAGGGUAAAGGAACAGUACCAUUGCUGGAUAAUUGGAAAGUCCCUGUGUGUCAACCUUUGUGCUUCGUGGCAAGGUAGACUAGCAAACAUGCCCAACCUUUACUCACAUUCGAGACAACACUCCCAACAAGAUUGCUUGCUCCAAAAUCGAAGAGGCACCGCCCUUCGAAUCUCGAGAGCCAGACUCCCAACAUGAUUACUUCCUCAAAAAUCGAAGAGACACUGCUCUCCGAAUCUCGAGAGUCAGACCCCCCAACAUGAUUGCUUUCUCAAAAAUCGAAGAGGCAUCGUUCUCCGAAUCUCGAGAGCCAGAUACCACAGACCACUUUUUCAAAGUGCUCUGACAGAGUUAAAACAUGUGAAACUGGCAGCUCCCACUACCGUGUUAUGACCAAGCAGGGUAAAGGAAUAGCAUUACUACUUGUUGUUAGGGAGACUCCUAUAUAUGUCGACCUCCAUCCCCAACGGACAGGCAGACCUGCAAAAAUGCUCAACCCUUCAUCAUAUCUGAGAGGGCACUCCCAACGAAGCCUUUCGAAAUAUUCAGCUUUCUUUCCCCCCGAUAAUACCUCUGCAAACAAGCUAUACUAGAGCAAGAAUAUCUCAUAUCAUCAGGGUUAAAAGCAAGAGUAUCCCAUAUCAUGCUUUUUCCCUGUCUUUUCCUUUGGCCUUGUUUUUACCUGCAAGACAAGGAGAAAGAGAGCAAUCAGUCAGCACUUGGAAUCAAGCUUCCAGCCAGGAACUGACUGCCUGGAACCCGUUACCUGAUUACUUACCUGGCAUUGCUCUCGAGUACUCAUCUUCAACAUCUUAUGUUUCCAGGGAAGAUUCCGCAUCUGCUUGAGGAACAGAUAGGGCAAGUGCGAAGGAUACAAGGAAGCAUGUGGAGACAAGCGUAACAGCACACGUGCCAAUACAUCCAUUACUCUGUCAAAAGCAAAAGUAUCCCAUAUCAGCAGGGUGGAACGUACUCUAGAUUUGAUGGACUUGUUUUGACCCUCAAAUUCUUCAGUCGGCCUUAUACUCUGGAGGAAACCAGAAAACCCUCCAGCUCAGUUCAAGAAUAAGCCUGUGGAAAGUUACUUCUUCAAAAGCAAAAGUAUCUCAUAUCAUCUCUUCUCAUUUUUCUUCUCUUUAUCCUUCAUGCUGUUGCAAGAUGGGGAGAAGGUGAACAAUCAGUCGGAGCUCUGAUUACUUACCUUGUCUGUCACCUCUUUCAGCAGACCCCCUAGCUCGGCGACUUGGGGGACUCCUACUACAUGGUUUGUAUCGCGCUUGACCAAGCCUGAAACUACAAGUAAGCUUCAAGUGAAAUUGAUACAUUACCUUGUGCAUCUCCACCAGUUAAAGAUACCACCCCUGGAUGGAGGAAGAGUACUUCCAGAGAAGAUGCCACAUCUAUCUAUGAGACAGAUAAGGCAAGUCAAGAUGACACCACACUCCGAUACUUAGAAGUUUCGUGAUUACGAGAUCAUUCUCCCACAAUAUUUCCUAAUGUCAUUUGUACUAAAUCAUUCACUUGUACUCACUAAAGGAGAGCUUGAACCUAUGUACUUGUGUAAACCCUUCACAAUUAAUGAGAACUCUUCUAUUCCGUGGACGUAGCCAAUCUGGGUGAACCACGUACAUCUUGUGUUUGCUUUCCUAUCUCUAUCCAUUUAUAUACUUAUCCACACUAAUGACCGGAGCAAUCUAGCGAAGAUCACAAAAAGCGACCGUUUUCGCUACCUAGGAUCUAUCUUGCAAGAGAACGGAGAAUUAGAUGGAGAUCUCAACCAUAGAAUACGAGCUGGAUGGAUGAAGUGUAAGAAUGCAUCCGGCGUGUUGUGUGACCGUCGUAGGCCACUGAAGCUCAAGGGAAAAUUUUAUAGGACGGCAAUAAGGCCAGCGAUGUUGUAUGGCACAGAAUGUUGGGCGGUGAAGCAUCAACACGUACACAAAAUGGGUGUAGCGGAGAUGAGGAUGCUUCGUGGGAUGUGUGGGCACACAAGAAAGGAUAAGAUUGGGAAUGAGGAUAUCCGAGGUAAAGUAGGAGUAGCCGAAAUUGUAGGAAAGAUGAGAGAAAAUCGGCUUCGGUGAUUUGGACAUGUGCAAAGAAGGCCGACUGACGCUCCGGUUCGAAGAUGUGACUACGGGACAGAGGUUCAGGGCCGAAGGGGUAGAGGAAGACCUAGGAAAACUUUGGAAGAGACUCUAAGAAAAGACUUAGAGUACUUGGAUCUAACGGAGGACAUGACACAAAACCGAGCGCAAUGGCGUUCUAGGAUUCAUAGCCGACCCCACUUAGUGGGAAAAGGCUUUGUUGUUGUUGUUGUUGUUGUUGUUGUUGUUGUUGUUGUGUGUUGAGUGUGAAUACCAUUUUGUACGCAAGAUUGUUGCAUGUUGAAGCCUAGAUUCUAUUAUGGACAGGGAAUUGUCUAAAUAUAUUGUAAAAUAUUUGACUGAAUUUAAGUUAAAUGAAAUGUAAGAACCGACUAAUAUUGGAUAUCAGUGACAGUGUGCAGGUAAGUGUUUGUUGAGGUAUGUGAAAACUUUUUGGAAUAGUCUUGAGGUUGAGGGUAAUGGAAGCUGUUCUUUGAUAGGCAUCAUAAGGGACACCUUCCCGGACUUGAACCUGGACCAAAUGCUAGUUAGGAAUUAGAUUAGGAAAGUGCAUAACUAAUCCGGUGUACUAGGAUCCGCACUGAGCUCAGUUUUUGGAUAAGGAAAGCAGUUUUGUUGCUCUUUUGUUGUACUACUAGUAAGAAUGGUUUGACAUGGUCCUUUCUUUGUGCAUGCAUAUCUUUGGUUUCCGCAAUGAUUUGUUAAUGAAAUGAUUAAGUUCAACUGAUGUGGUAGCUACUGAUGGCAUUUUGGGCGCUCAUUUCUUGUUGGAUAUUAUUUGUUUCUUGUAAUUCUAUAUUUUUCAUUAUCAGAUGCAAACUAGCGCUUUAGUCUGUUAAAGGAUUAUUUUUCUGGUUAAUGUUCAGUUAAAGUAUUAAAUCAUAUUUUUCUGUCUUUAUCUGCAGUCUCUUGAUAAACAAGGAGUAAGUUUCUGUACCCGGACCACACAUGAUGACAGUGCCAUCACAAAUGCUGUUGAAAUAUACGAUAGAUUGGGGUAUUUUAGCUAGUUCUGAAAAUCUGUUCAUCUGAAUUUUUUCUUUUAAUAAAACACAAUUUGAUAUAGAAACGCUUUUUCAGGGGUGGAAUGCAUUUCAUGGCAUCCAAUAAUGACUGCGGCAUAAGAGAAUAUGACAUGGAGAAGUUUCAGCUUUUGAAUCACUUUCGUCUCCCUUGGCCAGUGAAUGUGAGUCAUCCUAAGAACUUAAUUCAUAUUGAUGGUUUCUGUCAGAUAAACUUACCUGCCUUUUUCUACUUCUAUACUAAGAAUCUACAUAUUUGUCUUUACACUUUCACUUUCUGUGAUUUUCAUUGACUCCAACCUCCCUGGAUAUUAAUAUUAGAAGGCUAAGUUGUGCAUUGAAGAGUAUUAUUUCUGAUAUAUUUGGAAAUUGUUGAGAUGUCAACUAGGAAGUCAAGCUUUCAAAUCAGUUUUAUUUUGUUCAAUUGGUCAUGCUGAGGACAAGGACAAUUUUUAAAAUAAAAGGAAAUUGGUGACUGGUGUAGGUCACAGACUAAUUUCAUAUUUUGGUUUAGCUUGAUGGACAUAUCGUUUUCUUUUAUAGAUAAAUUGAAGCAAUAUUCCUUUUCAGCUAAUGACAUAGGAACAAUUUUCCUCUCCAACUUGCCAAAAUUCCUUUUCAUAUUUUGGUCGAUACCACUUGCCAAAAUUUUUCUUCGUUGACCCUCUCCUUAAAGCACAAAAUGUUGAUUGAGCCAAUCCUAGUAUUGAAAAUAUUUUGCAGACUUGAAACAAAUUACCUCUUUGAAAUAGAAGAGUGCAAUAUACUUAAGUGCUUGUAAAUUGGAAGUGAUCUGCAAUUGCUUAAACUGGAAUUAAUGUGUUGGUUUCUGUUGUUAUUCCUCCCCUAACUCUUUUACUUAACGUGGAGCUCACCUUGUUUGCAGCAUACAUCAAUAAGCCCAGAUCGUAGGCUUGUUGCCGUUGUUGGUGAUCAUGUAGAUGCAUUGCUCAUGGAUUCGCAGAAUGGGAAGGUACCAAGAUCUUUUUCCUGAUCAUGAUACUUUUGUCUGUAACUUAUUUUGUUGCAUUUCUUUCCAUAGAAAUAUUCUUGCUAAUAAGAUGAGGUAAACUGUGAAAAUUGAACGCGAGACAUGUAGACUUCGAGGAAAUGGUUAAUGGUGGUAAAAUACCAAUACAAGUGUCAUCUUUAAUACGAUAACAGAUUUUUGCUUACAUAGUUGUUUUUAUAAUUGUUCAGCAUAAAGAUAUCUACUUUUUAUUUAUCUUUUAAUAUACCUUAACUUUGUGUUAGCGGAGCAGUUGUGCUUCUAAAUUCCAAAUUUACCCCUAAAAGCAUUUUCCAGGUUUUAUUUUCAAAGAUGGGAACCGUUUACUAACCAUAUACAACUUUGUUUUUUUUUGUUUUUUUUUGUCAUUCCAGACUAUUGCUAAGGUCGUUGGUCAUCUGGAUUACUCUUUUGCGUCAGCAUGGCAUCCUGAUGGUUGCAAUUUGCCACUGGAAACCAGGACAAGACUUCCCGAGUCUGGGACAUAAGAAAUCUUUCAUUGCCAGUUGCCGUUCUGAAGAAUAGCUUGGGUGCUGCUAGGUCAAUUCGCUUUUCAUCAGAUGGUCAGUUCUUGGUGGUCGCGGAACCUGCAGAUUUUGUGCAUAUAUAUAGCACAAAGGCAUACUACAAAGUGCGGCAAGAGAUUGAUUUCUUUGGGGAGAUAUCCGGUGUAUCAAUGAGUCCCGAUGAUGAGUCUCUGUAUAUAGGAAUCUGGGACCGAACAUACGCCAGCUUGCUACAGUAUAACAGAAGGCACUAAGGGUGGAAACCCUCGUGUGGAUAGUUUUGCUUCAUCUCGCUCAUAAGAAACCACCAAGGGUGGAAACCCUGGUGUGGAUAGUGAGCCAGAUGGUAUUGUUGUACCCUUCAUAAUGUCCCCACAUAUGUGUAUUGUGGAGGGUGUAAAGAUUGUGAGUGUGAAAUAUGGAGCUUGUCUUUGCCUUUCUCGAUGCAAAGGAAUUUAACCCAUUACUUCUCUCAGAUCCAGCUUCCUCCCUCGGAUGAUCCAUUCUCUCAAUGAUUCAAUCGAUACCCUACUAUCUUUUGAACUCUUCUGGAUAAGAUAAGGGUGUUUUGGGUAGAAAAACGUGAUUCCGGAUGAAGGCUUUGUCCCGGAAUCCGAAUACUAGUUAUUGUUCGGUAGUCUGAUUCCGAGAAUAUUAGGAAUUGGAUUGCUGAUUUUGAGUGGACCCUGCAUAAAUUUUUAUUCCCCAAUGGAUAGUAGACACUGGAAUCCUUUCAGUCAUGAAUGAUUCUCUUUCAUUUCAUUUCCAACCCCUGUUGGUAAACACGCACAGAUGUUGUAUAGAGACUUUCAAAUGACAGAUGUAUUCCUGUUGGACCACAUAGCUUGGUGAGUAAAAUGAGUACUACCCAGACAGCAACUAAGUAUCAUCCGUGCAGAUGGGCCGAACUUUAUCUCCUUCCUCUCUCACACACACAGUACACACGCACGCACAGAGAAAAGAGAGACGGCGGAGCCGCGCAGAGAGAGAGAGAGAGAGUAGUGUUUCCCUUUCAUCUCUUACUUAUCUCCAGACUCUGCAAAUCAUAACAGCAAGUGGAUUAGCUAGCUGCCUGGAUUGCAAUCCCGACCCUCUGUUUUCCAGGCAAGUGUUUGUUCCUUCUUCUUACUCCCACUUUCUUUUUUUUCCAGUGUUUGGUUAUUAAUUUAUUAAUUUAUUGUUAUUAUUUCAAUUUUUUCAACCUCAAUUUGCUGUAAUUUUUUACCCUCUCUAAUAAAAUUUGUUUCGCCUGAUUUUUGUUUGCUUCAAACAAGAACGCUUACUGCAUUCGGGCCAUUCAUAUUUUUUGCUUAUUGCAGUUCAGCCAUCGACUUCGCCUAUGUAAUUUUACAUUGCCGGUCCCAAGCCCGGAUAAAGGAGGAGGGGGAGGGCGUCAGGUAGUCGACAGCCGGCACUCCAUGAUCACGUCGAAUCCUUAUGAAAAUGAAUCCAGAACAAAAUCGCGCUAAAGCUAGGGCGUCACCCGUAAGUGGUGCGCUGUGUGGCCCGAGCACAGUGAUAAGUGAGCAAGGGUCGCUGUAUCUCCAUCGGCACCCGGAUGCAGUGUUAAAUGAGCAAGGGGGCCGUAGAAACUUCUUUUCGAACGACUUCACUCAAAGUUGUUUGGGAGCAUAUGCUCCUAUCAACUUUACACGGGACACACAAAAGAAGUACUUUGAUCAUAUUAGACGGGGGAGGGUGAAGAAGCUAGGACAGAAGGGUAGAGUUCAAGAGAGCAAAAUGCGUUUAGGAACGUGGAAUAUAGGAACCUUAACGGGAAAAUCUAUGGAAGUAGUGGAAGUUAUGGUGAGGAGAAGGAUAAAUAUUAUGUGCCUACAAGAAACUAAGUGGGUUGGUAGUAAGGCAAAGGAUCUAGAAAACUCAGGGUUUAAAACUUUGGUAUUCGGGCACAAAUAGAACGAGAAACGGUGUUGGGCAUCAUCGUGGACAAGACCUUGACACAAGAUGUUGUAGAUGUCAAGAGGGUAGGAGAUAGAAUCAUGGCAAUCAAGAUUGUAAUAGGACAAGAACUUAUCAAUGUGAUUAGUGCGUACGCACCUCAAGUAGGAUUGGAUACGAGUUCGAAUGAGAAAUUUUGGGAAGACCUUGGAGACUUGGUGCAAGGAAUUGCUCAGACGGAGAAGUUAUUUAUAGGAGGAGAUUUAAAUGGACACAUGGGCAGGGAGACAGGCAACUAUGGAGGUUUUCAUGGUGGCCAUGGUUUUGGGGAGAGAAACGAGGAUAGGGAAGCUAUCUUGGAUUUUGCAAUGGCAUAUGAUCUCUUCUUAGCCAACACCUUCUUUAAGAAGAGAGAAGAACAUGUGAUCACCUACAAGAGUGGGUCGUCAAAAACACAAAUAGAUUUUCUUCUAAUGAGGAAAAGGGAUCGUAUAACUUGUAAGGAUUGCAAAGUUAUACCAGGAGAGAGCGUGGCUAAUCAACAUCGCUUGUUGGUGAUGGAUGUACAUAUCAAAAGAGUGAGACAAAAGAACAAGACUUGGAAGUGCCCAAGGACUAGAUGGUGGAAUCUAAAAGAAGAAAAACAAGUCAUUUUCAAAGAGAAGGUAAUCACCCAAUGUGUGUGGGAUAGAGAGGGGGAAGCUAGCCAAAUGUGGGAUUCCAUGGCUAGUUGUAUCCGAAAAGUAGCAAAAGAGGUAUUAGGAGAGUCCAAGGGCUUUGCCCCACACCAAAAGGAAUCUUGGUGGUGGAAUGAGGAGGUACAAACAAAGGUGAAGACUAAGAAGGAAUGUUGUAAAGCCUUAUACAAGGAGAGGACCGAUGAAAAUGGUGAAAGGUAUAGAAAAGCGAAGCAAGAGGCGAAGAAAGCUGUCAGAGAAGCUAAGUUAGCGGCUUACGACGAUAUGUAUAAACGACUAGAUACCAAAGAAGGAGAGUUGGAUAUCUAUAAACUAGCUAGAGCAAGGGAAAAGAAGACAAGGGACCUAAACCAAGUGAGGUGCAUCAAGGAUGAGGAUGGAAAGGUUCUUGCUACAGAGAACGCGGUUAAAGACAGAUGGAGAGGUUAUUUUCAUAAUCUUUUCAAUGAAGGACAUGAAAGGAGUGCUUCUUUAGGGGAGUUGAGUAACUCAGAAGAGUGUAGAAACAACUCUUUUUAUCGUCGAAUCCGGAAGGAAGAAGUGGUUGUAGCUUUGAAGAAGAUGAAGCAUAGAAAAGCAACAGGCCCAGACGAUAUACCAAUCGAAGUGUGGAAAGUUUUGGGAGAGACAGGUAUAACAUGACUCACUGACCUUUUCAAUAGGAUUUUGAAAACGAAGAAGAUGCCAAAUGAGUGGCGAACGAGCACUUUGGUGCCUAUCUACAAGAAUAAGGGCGACGUACAAAAUUGCAUGAACUAUAGGGGUAUUAAGUUAAUGAGUCAUACAAUGAAGCUCUGGGAGAGAGUCAUUGAGCAUAGAUUGAGGCAAGAGACACGGGUUUCGGACAACCAAUUCGGGUUCAUGCCAGGGCGCUCAACCAUGGAGGCAAUCUAUCUCUUACGAAGAUUGAUGGAAAGAUAUAGAGAUGGGAAAAAUGAUUUACACAUGGUCUUUAUAGAUUUUGGAAAAAAGCGUAUGAUAGGGUCCCAAGAGACAUUCUUUGGAGGAUUUUAGAGAAGAAAGGAGUACGAAUAGCAUAUAUCCAAGCUAUAAAGGAUAUGUAUGAAGGAGCAAAGACUGCCGUAAGAACUCAUGAAGGACAAACCGAAAGCUUUCCCAUAACUGUAGGAUUACAUCAAGGCUCAUCCUUAAGUCCUUACCUUUUUGCGUUGGUAAUGGAUGAGUUAACAGGACAUAUUCAAGAUGAUAUUCCUUGGUGUAUGCUUUUCGCAGACGAUAUAGUGUUGAUAGAUGAAACUCAGGAAGGGGUAAAUGCAAAGCUUAACCUUUGGAGAGAAGUGUUGGAAUCUAAAGGUCUUCGCCUAAGCCGAUCAAAGACAGAAUAUAUAGAGUGCAAGUUCAGUGCAAAUGGAGGCCAAAACGAGUUAGGGGUGAGGAUCGGAGAUCAAGAAAUACCAAAGAGCGACCGUUUUCGUUACCUAGGAUCUAUCUUGCAAAAGAACGGAGAAUUAGAUGGAGAUCUCAACCAUCGAAUACAAGCUGGAUGGAUGAAGUGGAAGAGUGCAUCUGGUGUGUUGUGUGACCGCCGUAUGCCACUGAAGCUCAAGGGAAAAUUUUAUAGGACGGCAAUAAGGCCGGCGAUGCUGUAUGGCACAGAAUGUUGGGCGGUGAAGCAUCAACACGUACACAAAAUGGGUGUAGCGGAGAUGAGGAUGCUUCGUUGGAUGUGUGGGCACACGAGAAAGGAUAAGAUUAGGAAUGAGGAUAUCCGGGGUAAAGUAGGAGUAGUCGAAAUUGAAGGAAAGAUGAGAGAAAAUCGGUUACGGUGGUUUGGACAUGUGCAAAGAAGGCCUACUGACGCUCCGAUUAGAAGAUGCGACUAUGGGACAGAGGUUCAGGGCCGAAGGGGUAGAGGAAGACCUAGGAAAACUUUGGAAGAGACUCUAAGAAAAGACUUAGAGUACUUGGAUCUAACGAAGGACAUGACACAGGACCGAGCACAAUGGCGUUCUAAGAUUCAUAUAGCCGAUCCUACUCAGUGACUUGGAUUUUCCAAGUCGCCAACCGAGAAGUUUUCCUCACUCGGAAAAUUAAGGGAACACUACCCCAACCUACAUGCUCCACUCAGAAAGCUUCAACAUACAAGCUUCAACAAAAAGAAAAUUCAAAGAACUUAGCGAAGAAGGCUUUGGUGUAUUUAACACAAUACGUUGAAAUGAAGGAAAACUUAUUUAUUGAUAUCCCCGAUAAGCUACAAAUAUGUACAUAUACAUGAGUCAAAAUAAACAAACAAGAUGGAGCCUUCACAAAGGUUGCUUAGGAGAAGUCUCAGCAGUCGGUAGAGCCCCAGAAAGAGAAGGCAUCGAAGGGGGAUCAUUCGGAGCCUCAGUACUGGACAGAACCCUAGAAGGAGGAGGUAUCAGAGGUUGAUCAUUUGGAGCUUCAUUACGCGGUACAGCCCCAGAAGACGAAGGCAAUAAAUGCCUUUGGAACAAACCCACAAAUCUCUGAUGAUCAAGUAAAACCUGACCAUCAGUUUCCUUCAUCUGGUCAAGCUUCCUCUUCAUGUUUGUAGCAUAGUCAUGUGCAAGCCGGUGCAACUGUUUAUUCUCAUGCUUGAGCCCUCUAAUCUCCUGUUUGAGACUCAUCACUUCGGCCGCCAAUGAUUCAACUUGGCAGGUUCGAGCAAAUAGGCGUUGGGCCAUAUUAGACACAGAACCUGCACACUGAACACUGAGAGCCAGCGAAUCCUUAACAGCUAACUCAUCAGACCGUUUGGAAAGUAGUCUGUUAUCUUUGGGAGUGAGAAGGUUCCUGGCCACCACCGCAGCGGUCAUAUCAUUCUUCAUCACGGAAUCCCCAACGGUAAGAGGACCAGUAGGGGAGACGAAGGAUGGGCGCCAUAUGUUGUCUGGAGAAUGCGGGGCUGCCUCUUCAACAAGGUUCAAGUCAAAACGACAGUCGGAGGGGCCAGACAUUUUCAAAGGUGUUGAAGAGAAGAAGUCGGACAAAUCAAGAUCUUAGAAGUGCAAGAAUGGAGCUUCUACUGGUGGAGAUUCAAGUGUACUUUGGAACUUAAUGCCAGCCUCUAUAAAAAGCUGCACUCGACGGAGCUUCAGACAUCGAAGAGGCGCCUGCUCAGAAAUCGAAGAGGCGUUUGCUUUCUCAAAAGCUGGGCUGCUUAGAGACCACGAGGGUGAUCUCAUAAAUCGAAGAGGUGUUUGCUUUCUCAAAAGUUAGGCUGCUCAAAGACCAUGAAAGCCGAUCUCAGAAAUCGAAGAGGCGCUCGCUUUCUCAAAAGCUGGGCUCCUCAGAGACCACGAGGGCCGAUCUCAGAAAUCGAAGAGGCACCUACUUUUCCAGCCUUGUCAGCACCUGUCACACGCACACUCAGCUUUGCGGAAAUUAUGGGUAUUCUGUCGAAGACUUCUGGGGAAGUAGAAAACACAUGAAUCUUACUGUUCAAUCACCCACUUCCCACACGCAACAAUAGCUUAUGGGUACCACAGAUAACUUUGCCAAAGUUCUCUGCCAAAGUUGAGCACGUGAAGCUUGCAGCUCCCACUACAUCGCUCUGACCAAGAAGGGUAAAAGAAUAGCAAAGAAACAGCACUAACAAAGUUUAGACCCAUAAAUUUUGAAGGUCUAGCUACCAUAUUAUUACCCACAAGGGUAAAGGAACAGUACCACUGCUGGAUAAUUGGAAAGUCCCUGUGUCAACCUCUGUGCCUCGUGGCAAGGUAGACUAGCAAACAUGCCCAACAUUUACUCACAUUCGAGAAAACACUCCCAAUAAGAUUGCUUGCUCCAAAAUCGAAGAGGCACCGUCCUCCGAAUCUCGAGAGCCAGACUCCCAACAUGACUACUUUCUCAAAAAUCGAAGAGAGGGUAAAGGAACAGUACCAUUGCUGGAUAAUUGGAAAGUCCCUGUGUGUCAACCUCUGUGCUUCGUGGCAAUGUAGACUAGCAAACAUGCCCAACCAUUACUCACAUUCGAGAAAACACUUCCAACAAGAUUGCUUGCUCCAAAAUCGAAGAGGCACCGCCCUCCGAAUCUCGAGAGCCAGACUCCCAACAUGAUUACUUUCUCAAAAAUCGAAGAGACAUUGCUCCCCGAAUCUCGAGAGCCAGACCCCCAGCAUGAUUGCUUUCUCAAAAAUCGAAGAGGCAUCGUUCUCCGAAUCAAUCGAAGAGGCGCUCGCUUUCUCAAAAGCUGGGCUACUCAGAGAUCACGAGGGCCGAUCUCAGAAAUCGAAGAGGCACCUACUUUUCUAGCCUUAUCAGCACCUGUCACACGCACACUCAGCUUUGCGGAAAUUAUGGGCAUUCUGUCGAAGACUUCUGGUGAAGUCGAAAGCACAUGAAUCUUACUGUUCAAUCACCCACUUCCCACACGCAACAAUAGCUCAUGGGUACCACAGAUAACUUUGCCAAAGUCUCUGCCAAAGUUGAGCACGUGAAGCUUGCAGCUCCCACUACAUCGCUCUGACCAAGAAAGGUAAAAGAAUAGCAAAGAAACAGCACUAACAAAGUUUAGACACAUAAAUUUUGAAGGUCUAGCUACCAUAUUAUUACCCACAAGGGUAAAGGAACAGUACCACUGCUGGAUAAUUGGAAAGUCCCUGUGUGUCAACCUCUGUGCCUCGUGGCAAGGUAGACUAGCAAACAUGCCAAACCUUUACUCACAUUCGAGAAAACACUCCCAACAAGAUUGCUUACUAAAAAAUUGAAGAGGCACCGCCCUCCGAAUCUCGAGAGCCAGACUCCUAACAUGAUUACUUUCUAAAAAAUCGAAGAGACACUGCUCCCCAAAUCUCGAGAGCCAGACCCCCAGCAUGAUUGCUUUCUCAAAAAUCGAAGAAGCAUCGUUCUCCGAAUCUCGAGAGCCAGAUACCACAUACCACUUUUUCAAAGUGCUCUGACAGAGUUAAAACAUGUGAAGCUGGCAGCUCCCACUACCGUGCUAUGACCAAGCAGGGUAAAGGAAUAGCACUACUACUUGUUGUUAGGGAGACUCCUAUAUAUGUCGACCUCCAUCCCCAACGGACAGGCAGACCUGCAAAAAUGCUUAACCCUUCCUCAUAUCUGAGAGGGCACUCCCAACGAAGCCUUUCUAAAUAUUCAGCUUUCUUUCCCCCCGAUAAUACCUCUGCAAACAAGCUAUACUAGAGCAAGAAUAUCUCAUAUCAUCAGGGUUAAAAGCAAGAGUAUCCCAUAUCAUGCUUUUUCCCUGUCUUUUCCUUUGGCCUUGUUUUUACCUGCAAGACAAGGAGAAAGAGAGCAAUCAGUCAGCACUUGAAAUCAAGCUCCCAACCAGGAACUGACUGCCUGGAACCCCUUACCUGAUUACUUACCUGGCAUUGCUCUCGAGUACUCAUCUUCAACAUCUUAUGUUUCCAGGGAAGAUACCGCAUCUGCUUGAGGAACAGAUAGGGCAAGUGCGAAGGAUACAAGGAAGCAUGUGGAGACAAGCAUAACAGCACACGUGCCUAUACAUCCAUUACUCUGUCAAAAGCAAAAGUAUCCCAUAUCAGCAGGGUCGAACGUACUCUAGAUUUGAUGGACUUGUUUUGACCCUCAAAUUCUUCAGUCGGCCUUAUACUCUGGAGGAAACCAGAAAACCCUCCAGCUCAGUUCAAGAAUAAGCCUGUGGAAAGUUACUUCUUCAAAAGCAAAAGUAUCCCAUAUCAUCUCUUCUCAUUUUUCUUCUCUUUAUCCUUCAUGCUGCUGCAAGAUGGGGAGAAGGUGAACAAUCAGUCGGAGCUCUGAUUGCUUACCUUGUCUGUCACCUCUUUCAGCAGAUCCCCUAGCUCGGCGACUUGGGGGACUCCUACUACAUGGUUUGUAUCGCGCUUGACCAAGCCUGAAACUACAAGUAAGCUUCAAGUGAAAUUGAUACAUUACCUUGUGCAUCUCCACCAGUUAAAGAUACCACCCCUGGAUGGAGGAAGAGUACUUCCAGAGAAGCUGCCACAUCUACCUAUGAGACAGAUAAGGCAAGUCAAGAUGAUACCACACUCCGAUACUUAGAAGUUUCGUGAUUACGAGAUCAUUCUCCCACAAUAUUUCCUAAUGUCAUUUGUACUCUAAUGUCAUUUGUACUAAAUCAUUCACUUGUACUCACUAAAGGAGAGCUUAAACCUAUGUACUUGUGUGUAAACCCUUCACAAUUAAUGAGAACUCUUCUAUUCCGUGGACGUAGCCAAUCUGGGUGAACCACGUACAUCUUGUGUUUGCUUUCCUAUCUCUAUCCAUUUAUAUACUUAUCCACACUAAUGACCGGAGCAAUCUAGCGAAGAUCACAAAAAGCGACCGUUUUCGCUACCUAGGAUCUAUCUUGCAAGAGAACGGAGAAUUAGAUGGAGAUCUCAACUAUAGAAUACGAGCUGGAUGGAUGAAGUGUAAGAGUGCAUCCGGCGUGUUGUGUGACUGUCGUAAGCCACUGAAGCUCAAGGGAAAAUUUUAUAGGACGACAAUAAGGCCAGCGAUGUUGUAUGGCACAGAAUGUUGGGCGGUGAAACAUCAACACGUACACAAAAUGGGUGUAGCGGAGAUGAGGAUGCUUCGUGGGAUGUGUGGGCACACGAGAAAGGAUAAGAUUGAGAAUGAGGAUAUCCGAGGUAAAGUAGGAGUAGCCGAAAUUGAAGGAAAGAUGAGAGAAAAUCGGUUUCGGUGAUUUGGACAUGUGCAAAGAAGGCCGACUGACGCUCCGGUUCGAAGAUGUGACUACGGGACAGAGGUUCAGGGCCGAAGGGGUAGAGGAAGACCUAGGAAAACUUUGGAAGAGACUCUAAGGCUUAGAGUACUUGGAUCUAACGGAGGACAUGACACAAAACCGAGCGCAAUGGCGUUCUAGGAUUCAUAUAGCCGACCUCACUUAGUGGGAAAAGGCUUUGUUGUUGUUGUUGUUGUUGCAGUUCAGCCAUCGAACUAUCGUGUAUUUUUGUUGUGUCGAAUGUUCAAACUAUCGUGCUUGGUCAUGAGAUUUUUACUUUGUCCUGGCCUGGCGUAUGAACUAGUCCAAGUUUAUAAUAUAAAGGCGAAUUUCAAGUAGACCUGGCAUUUUUGGACCCGAUCCGUUAACCCGGCCCGUUAAUAUUAGUAUUUGGAUGGAUGCUUAACGAGCCGGGUCACAACCCAUUAAAUAAUGAAUCACUUUGGAUCAAUCCAUUAGAUCCGUUAGUUGAGAAGGUUCGAGUAAUUUCACUUUUGGGGUUGCCCGCAUAGGGCGUACCCGGAAAUGAGAGCAGUCCAAGAGACAAGGUUUCUCCUGCGCAUUCCAUCAAACGGUUGGUGGGCGUAAUCCAAGUGACCAAAUUUGGCAUACAUAUUGAUGGAAGAAUCGCCGGCCAAAGAUAGAUAAUGUUUUUUUUUUUCAGAAAACUUUGUUAAAGAAUCUGACCUCCGCUCAAAGAAUCGCCGGCCAAUGAUAGAUUAUGUUUUUUUCUUCAGAAAACUUGUAGGUCCUCCAUUAUCCCCUCACUACUUCAAAGUUCAUUCGACCUCCGCUCCCGCCAUGGGCAUUAAGACCAGAAAUGGGCAUUGAUCGAUGAGCAAAAUCUGACAAAAGCUUCCGUUGAUGCUCAUCUGUGUGAGGAAGACUAGCACGCAGAAGCUCCACAGGCAUUUCAUGAUGUAGCGCCCUGGUGGCCUCUGAACCAAUAACUUCUGUGCUUUGAUGACUAUAUAAAUAUUGAUUAUACUAUAGUUUCAUAGGCAAUACUUGGUGAGCAGACCCAAAAAUUCAUCAAAGGAUGCCUGCCAAAGGCGCGCGGUUAGAAAUGCUACAGCUUCCAGUAGCGUGAAGGUCACUUAAGAGUACAGUUGCAUUGGAAUGCAAAAAUAUUAAAAAAUAAAUAAAUAAAAAAGUUAACGGGUCUUAACGAAUGAAACGGAUGACCUAUUAGAUUAACAGGUUAAGUUCGGAUGAUCUGUUAGCUUAACGGGUCAGAUUGAAUCUAACCCAAACCCGAUAAACUCUACAUGUUUACAGGUCUUUCAAGAUGUCGCUGGACUUGUAAAUCAAGUUUUAAAGAUAACAAAUAGGAUAUUACACACUUGUCAAUAACUUGCGUUUUAUAACGUAUAAAGUAUAAAAAUUACUAAAAUAACAAGUCUUGCCUAUUUGUUGUCUUAUUUCUUGAACAGACAAGUGAGCUCUCACAGUACAAAUUUCCCCUAAAGUAUUUCCUAAUUCUAUUGGAUAAAGAUGCUUAGGAUUGUUGGAUUAAAAAGUCCGAAUCUUAUUCAGUUCCAAUGACUUCGAACCCUUCAGACUCUUCACUUGAUCCACAUGCUUCAGGCUCAUCUCUUGAUCGACCACCUUUGGAAUUGUCAUCUUGUCUUGUUUCUUCUUCUACUUUUGGUUCCGUCGACAUGAAGACAUGAUCAAAUUUGAAUUUCUCAACAUCUUCGGCAUACAAUGGGCGUAUACCACAGCUUUCCACCUUCAUGGAUUUGGAAGGUGGCAAGCUGCCCGCUGGAUUAUUUUUCCCAAACAUAGCCCGUCGUGGCAAGCUGCCCGCUGGAUUAUUUUUCCCAAACAUAGCCCGUCGUGGCAAGCUGCCCGCUGGAAUAUUUAUCCCAAGGGAAGGCGGUGGUGGUGGCGGCAAGCUGCCCGCUGGAUUAUUUAUCCUACGGGAAGACCCCGAUCUGAGGACGAAAAAAGCCCGCUGGUAGGAGUCAACAGGGUAGAAGUCAACAGAGACCUCAUUGACAAGUUUGUAAACAUUAGGGGAGCAUUUUUCUGCUACCCUUUCACUACUAAAGGCCUCAUUCCACACAAGCACGUGAUAUUGGUCGUAACCGUAGUCAUUCUGGCGGCUGUCUUGUGGGAUAGAGAAUACAGAAGUGAACAGUUCAUGGCUUUCACACAUGAAUUUGACAAUGAAAUUAGCUCUUACAAUCAAGGAACGUUGCGGCUCUGGAACCCCAGAAACAACAGCAGACAGAGCGAAACCAAAUAAACCUGUUUGAAACCAAUCUGGACGAAGCUUGAUGUUUACUGAAGAUCCCUCACUUUGAUAGCUGAACCAAUUUGGAAUUUCUUUUCCCUGACAUACAACCUGAAUCUCAGGCCAAGGAGUGUCCUUUGAUGGAGCACUAGUUGCCUCUCGCAUAAUUCUAAUCUGUGCUUCUUCCAUUAUGUUGCUCCUUGCAUUAUUAUCCAAUUUUGGGCAAUUAAUAAAACGUUUGCAAAAGCAAUCAUGUUGAACCCAACCUUGUGUGAGUACUGUCCUUGUACUUGACACUGUCUUCAGCGACGUGCAGCCUUCAGCUUCAACAUUACAUAGCACUGGGAGCUCUGGUAAAGAUUGAAGCUGCUCGCAGCCGACUAAGAAGAGUUUAGACAACCGAGAAGCUUGUUUGAUGCUUGUAGGUAUGCUCCUAACCUUGGUUCCACUCAGAUUUAAUUCUUGCAAUGAGGUUGAGCAAACGAGACCAUCAGGGACAUCCUUAAGGUGCUUGCAGCCACUAAGGUCUAAAGUUUGAAGCCUAAUUAGAUUUUCAAUAGGCGAAGGAAGCAUUUUGACAGCUGUCUCUUUCAAACAAAGAGACACCAAAUGUUCCAUUGGCUCCAAGAUCUCUGGGAAGUUUUCAAGUUUAGAGCAGCCAGAUAGAUUGAGUUCCUCCAGAUAUUUCAACUUACAAAUGUGGGUUGGUAGACUCACAAGUCUCUUGAAAUCAACCAAUGAUAAUUUAGUUAUAUCCCUGGGAAGCUCAGAAAACUCACCAAGAGAUGUGCAGCUCUCAAUACCCAAAACAUUAGAGACUUUCAGCUCACAGUUGUUGCUUGGAAGUUUCUCAAGGUCUUCGCAACGACCUAUAUUUAAGUAAGAAAUAUUUUUGUUAGACCAAACUGAUUCAGGCAACUCCUUUAUACCAGCGCCUCGUAAAUUUAAGUGUUGAAUAUUUCCUGGCAUCUCUGGAAGAUACUUGAGGCUGGUACAGUCUUGAAGAUGAAGAUGAGUAAGCUUGUCAAGAUGUUGAAAACACCCAGGAAUUUCAACCAAACUAAAACAGCCAUUGAGAUUUAUGUGCACAAUUUUUAGACUCCCAGAGAGAUUUGGAACUUCAAUUAGAUUUAUGGAGUGACGCAGAUCAAUAACUUGUAAGUUGACAAGUAUCUGCAACAAAUGAAAUAGAAAUAUAAAGAAUUAAUAUAAUUUCUACACUUGAUUUUAUACAAGAAUUAAAAUAGGCCUAUAAUAUAAUAUAAUAUACCUGGUCUUCUCUCCAAAGCUUCUUCUUAACAUUGCUAUAGGGCAAAUGUAGCUCAACUAGAUUUUCCGGACAAAAAUUUGAUGGCAAAGAUUCCAAUGGAUACCAAUCACAGUAAAGAUAACGAAGAGAAUCGGGAAGGUCUAGGGAAGCGUUCAAUUUGUGGCCACCAUACACAAUUAGCAAUCUUAGGUUACACAUCACUUUGAAGUCUGCACGUUUCAAUGGUCGCUUUGCAAUGUAAGACCAAUGAACCCGUAUGGCUUCAACAUUUGGAGUUUCCUGAGAAUAAAUGUGAAUAUAAACAUGUUAAAAUGUAACGCACAUUUGGAAAAAGAGUAUUUCCGAUGGUAAACAUGUACAAGUGUCUUAGCCUAGUCAAAUAUCCAAGAUAUUUGGUUCAUAUUCCAAAGACUUCCUAACACAAUAAAAAUUCAAUCAAAUUCAUCUCUUAACAAUCUGACUUCUUUAUUAUAAAUUAGUUUUACUUUGUUUUGUUGUCAUCUAAAGUUGUAAUUUUUUUCCUAAACAAAAAAGAAAAAAAAAUUGAAUGCAUUUGGCUCUUACCGUGUUACUCCUCAAUACACAAUAGACAUCCUCAUCAUUGAACAACCUACUCCGUUUACCGGGAUCUUUAAGUACAAUUGUCCUUCCCAUUUCUUGUAGCAAAUCGUGCAUCUCUAUGGUUUCCCUUCCCCAAUUUGAAUCAAUUGAUAUGAGAGACAUAUCAAUGAGACGUCUAAUUCCGGGUGUCGCAACAAAUCCACGAACAUCUAACAUUCGUUUUACCUCAUCCACAAGAUCCCCUUUAUGCCAACAAGCUAUAUCCAGAAAUAUCUCUUUCUCAUUCUCUUCCAAUCUAUCAUAACUUAUUCUCAACACUUUCUGGAUAUCUUCACUGGGAAAUCGUUUUAGUCUGUUGAAUUCAUCUUCCCAGUCUUCUUUGUUGCUCUGACAAUUGAAGAACAAUGACCCUAGAACUGUAAGAGCUAAAGGAACGCCUCUGGCAUAAUGCACAGCCUUUUCUGCCAACUCCUUAUAAUCUGUUAUACAAGUACUGUUAUUCUUGAAAGCACGCGAACAGAAGAGCUGAAGAGCGUCAUCCGGUUUUAAUACCUCAACCUCGUAGAUAUUAUCCGCUUCAACAGUUGCCGUAAGUGUGCCCCUGUCUCUACUUGUGAUAAUGAUUCUACUUCCAGUGCCAUACCGAAGACGAUUGCCAACUACACGUUCCAUUUGCAUUGGAGUAUUCACAUCAUCAAGAACAAUGAGGACCUUUGUGCGGCUGAGCCUUUUUCGAACACUAGUUGAUCCUAUGGAUAGAUCUUCUUCCUUGAAUAUCUCGCUUAGAAGUUUCUUUUGCAGGCAAUCUAGUCCAUCUGGUUGUUCAGAUUUCUCCCUAACAUUUUUAAGAAAACAAGAAGCUUCGAAUUUAGAAGAGAGUCUGUGAAAUACAGCUUCAGCAAGGGUGGUCUUGCCAAUACCACCCAUGCCCCAAAUACCUACAGUGAUGCAAGCGUCCGGUGAAUGAAUGCUUAAUAGCGAUUCGAUCUUCUUGAUGCGGCCUUCAAUUCCAACAUAGUCCUUUAAAUCACAGGAUGAUUCGCGACACAAUUUGGUCCAAAUAUCCUUUACAACUUCCUUAACUAAGUCGGCAUCAGUCCUGGCAUAAUGAUUAUGAAAGAAAGCAAUAGUUAGUCUUAAAUAUACAUACCUUACAAAAUCUUAGCACAAAUAAAAUCAUCACAAGUUUAAAGAAAAUUUAUAAUUUAAUACAAGUUAAAGAAUUAGUUAGUUACCCAUAAUUUUGUGAAACAAACCCAGAUAUAUCUGCUGCAUUCUUCAAAGCAUUGCUCCACUUGUGCACCUUAUCAAUACCGUCCUUGAAACGUUUUUCAAGUUGAGCAAAUGCACCCGCAUAACUCCCGUGUUGUUUUCGUACAUCAGAUGGAUUGAUGUCGUAGAAUACAGGUAUAACCAUCUGGCCAUGUUUUUCCUUGCAUUCGAGUAUAUGCACAAGCUCAUCCAAACACCAAGUGGAAGAAGCAUAGUCCUUCGAGAAAAUGAUCACCGAAAGCUGUGAUUCCUCGAUUGCUUGGAGAAGGGCAGGUGCGAUUUCAUCUCCUCUCUUAAGCUUGUCAUCAAUAUAGGUUGUGAUUUUUUUCUCAAGUAAGGCAGCGUGAAGGUGGCUGGUAAUACCACGGCGGGUGUCCUCACCUCUGAAACUAAUAAACACAUCGUACUUUUUUGUAUCAUCAGCAUCAACAGGAGCAGCAGCGGAUGAAGAAGAAGACGCGAUAUCCAUAACCUCUAGUUUUCAGAUCCAGCAAAAACAUGUAGUUGCAGACAGAUUAAUGUUUAAUUAAGGAGAUAAUAUUAUGACGUUGCACGAAUUAAGGAGAAUUUACCUAGAAUUGGCACAAAGUUUCAGUGAGUGAGAGACGAAAGUAGAAACAUAUUUUCUUUGAAAAAAACUAUAAUUUGAAGAACGAUAUUCAUAUAUUUGCAAUCUUGAUAUGAACGACGUCAUCUCAGCAUGUAAAACUACCAGUAGUUGAAAACCAUAAAAUGAUAUAAAUGCAAACCUCGUCUCCUUGCUUUGCUCCCCUCACAAUCAGUAUCAUCAUCGUCACCUGAUCGAUUCCUGCAAGUGAAGUUUUGGUUAUGUUUCGUACAGUUAUUAGUCAAUAAACAUAAAUCGGAUUAUUAUGCAUACCAAAAAACACCGCACAAAAGGAUGCAAAAAAUAAACUUGAGACCUCUUUGUUAUGUUCUCUUCCUUCUUUUCUAUUUCCAUCUGCGCUUUCUCUUUCAAUCUAUUGCAAUGAAGCUUUUCAGAACCUCUGUUAAGAGAACCGUUUAAUCCAAACGUCAAAAGGAGAAAUUAACAGCAGACGUAACAAAAAUUAAUUAGCAAAUUAAAUGUCAGCAUAACAUAACAACUGAACUUAUUAAUUACGAAGAAAUGACAAAAAAUAUAGAAAGAGCCUUAAACAGUAUCAAUAAACAUUAAACACUGACUAACCUCUGACAAGUUACCAAUUUGACAAGAAACCAAAUCUUCUGCACCCAAAAUGAGUGUCGCCUCUUUGUGGGACUAAUGAGUGUCUGCCGCCUAUUAAAUUCAUGAAAACAAAAUUAAGAAAAGUUAAGAUAUUGUAAGACAUGAGCCAUAGAGAGGCCACACCCAUUUUGGGUGCAGAAGAUUUGAUCUCAUUUGACAAUGGCUUGUUUGUUUUCUCCACCUUCAAAACAAGAAAAUUUCAACUUCAAAAUAAUAUAUCCAAAACAAUUACUUUUUUGUAUCUUCAGCAGUGGCGGCAGCGGAUGACGACGAAUAAGAAGAAGAACCACAUAUAUCCAUAACCUCUAGUUUUCAGAUCCAGGAGUAGUAGUUGCAGAGAGAUUAAUUGUGAAUAGAGAGAAAGAGAGACUGGUUCAAAAUUAAGGAGGAUACAACAAAAGCGAGAGAGAGAGUAAUUCAGAAUUAAGGAGGAUCUAAUGAAAAACAGAAAAGAGAGGGGGAGAGGGAGACUAGUUCAGAUUUUACUUGACUUAGCCUUUGACUAGAUGCACAGAGUUCCAAAAGCUCUUUUGGAAAAGCUCUAUGAGUAAGAGAUGACCAGUUACAGAAGCAUAAAAAUGGGCAUAUGGGAUGGGGCCCGCCCUUUACGCGCUUUGCGCAGGCUCCAGAUUUGCUGUCCCCAAAAGUAUGUCUCGUUUGUGUUUUUUUGCUAAUAUAUUGACACAUGUCUUUUAACUUAACCUAAAAUCAUGGUCUUAAAUGCCGAUAAUAUUAGCGAAAUAUCGCUGAUAUUAUCGAUUUUUCGUGGUAACGAUAUUUUAAUAGGUAUCCAAUUAGUUUUCGUCAAAAUAUCGCAAUAUAUUCGAUAUUAUCGAAACAAUCUCGUCGGAAAGGCAGCCGAGGCUGCGUCGUCGCACUACCCAGAUCUAUUGCAUACUCAGACCUAAGAUCUGCGCCUCAAUGACGGCGAUUCCGCCGCCGUUGCCGAAGUCGCGGCAAAAUAGCUUGUGGAACGGAUCGCAGUUGUAGAUCCGGAACCCGUGGUCUGUCCCCACGGCGAAGCAGGCGGGUCUUGGUUGAAGCAGACAUGGAAUAGAGAUGGAGGCGAGCGCGGCGCUGGCGGGGCGGGCUCUGGGGGGAGAAGGAGAAUGGGUGGUUGUUGUGGAGGUUGAGGUUGGGGUUUGGGGGCAAUUAGGGGUCGUGGUGGUCGUUGCUGGAGUCAACGACAGAGGUGGGGUUGUCGUCAGUGGGAUUGGUGAGGAAGGCGGAGGCGGAGAUGAAAGAGUGCGAAGAGAGAGAGAGUGAGUGAGAGCAGAGAUGAGAGAGUGUGAAUAAUAUGCGGUGGUUGUGCAAGUUGAGGAUUCAAAAAAUUGGGUAAUGUGAGGUAGCAGAUGUUGACGUUUUUGGAUAGUUUAAAAAUUGAAAACCAUGGACUUUGAGAUGGUUUUAAUCAUGAAAACCACCCAAGGUGGAUGGGUGAUGGGAAAUAGCAAGAUGAGGUGGAUGGUUUAUAAAGUGGAAUAUAUAUAUAUAUAUAUAUCUUAUAUAAAUUAUAAAUUAUUGUUUUCGAUUACAAUUUUACAUAAUUUAAUAGCAUCUUCAAUAUAAAUUUUAAAUAAAACCCCCACAACCAUAUAAUUCUUAAAUAAAUAAAAAAAAGGGUAAUAGUUACUCAUGUAUCUUACCAUGCAAUGUAUAAAGUGUAAAAUAUUAUACUAAUUCAUUAUAUAUAAAUGAUUAUGGUGUGUUUAAACUUCUUUUAUUAAUUACUACAUAUUUUCUACACUCACAAUGUUUGCCAGCUCGCUAUAUAAUCAACUUAAAUCAGUUAAAUCCAUCAUGCAAUGCAUUUCCUUCCAAUUUUUGUGAUAAACUAAUAGAUAAUUGACUAAAUAAACAUCCUGCAAAGUUUCAAUAAAAAUUUCCAAGUUUUUCUUACAAUUUCUGUGGUUUCCAUAUUAUUUUUAUCGAUAUCGAUAAUAUCCCGAUAUUUCCAUCGAUAUUUCCGUGUUUUUUGACUAUCGAUAUUUCUGAUAUAUUUAAUACCUUGCCUAAAACUAAUUCUGUUAACUUUAUUUAUUUAACAUUUAAAUUUAAAAAAUCCCAAAUAAUAAAAAAAACUGUUGGGUUAACGAGGUGAGCAAACCCUGCACAGACGCCUAUCACACCGUGGAGGUCAGACCCAAAAGUCUCUUUCUCCUUCAACAGCCUCCUGGAAUGCUCAGCCCUGAACUUCUGGGUCUCCUGCAACAUACAAUUCAAGCUAAUUACACAAUCAAACAUGCAUUUUGUAUUCCAGAAAGAAAAAAAAGGCAUGAAUUUUCAAACAUACUUGCAGAUUCUGCGAAUUGGGUAAUUGGGUCAGGAUAAAGUAUACUUGUGGGGCGUCGCCGCCGUGGCUCUUGGCGGCGUUUCGGAAUAUGGGUUUUAAUGGCGGAAGAAGAAUAUGAAUAACGACCGAUUAUGGCGUUUUGGAGGGAGGAGCGAGUGCCGGGCUCCAAACGAGAGAGGAGCCUAACCAGCUCCAGAUUUGGGUUUGCUCACCUCGUUAACCCAACAGUUUUUUUUUAUUAUUUGGGAUUUUUUUUAAUUUAAAUGUUAAAUAAAUAAAGUUAACAGAGUUAGUUUUAGAGUUAGUUUUAGGUUAAGAUAAAGGAGAUGUGUCAACAUAUUAGUAAGAAGACACAAACAAGACAUAUUUUUGGACACACUUUAGUAAGUCGCCAAUUUCUUUCAAGAAUUUCCAAACAAUAUCCAAGCAGUUUUGACUAAAGCAAGAGAGAGAGUAGUUCAGAAUUAAGGAGGACCAGAUGAAACAAGAGAGAGAAAGAGGAAGAAUAGAUCAGAAUUUACUCGAAUUGGCUUUUGACUAAAGUUCCAAAGGCUCCUUCAGGAAUAUCAGAUAUCAAUGAGUGAGAGAUGAAUACUUAUAAAAGUACACGAAGGGGAACAUGUGAUGGGGCCAUCCCUUUACGCUCUUUGCACGGUUGUAAAGUUUUCCAUUUAGUCAGUGACCAGUUUCUUUCCAAACAAUUUUCAAGCAAUAUCGAUUGAGGACAUUUUUAUAAUUUUCAAAAGAAAAUAAGUGAAUUUCACACUACAAAAUCAUAAAGAGCUAAGCAUAUAGUUGUUCACCAAUUGAGAUUGAACAAGAUUUGAAAUAUGUCUUUCCGAGCACAAGUGACAAAUCAAUUCAUUGAAUUAUAGAAUCUCAUCCCAUUUAGUUUGAUUUCAUUAUAAGAUAUACACAAUCAUUACAACUAUCAAUCUUACUACCAUAUUAGUUAAAUAAUUUAUGCUUUAAAUGCACGUUCGUUGUGUUCACUAAGACUUUUCCUUCAUCAACUUUGGUAUAUUUGAUUUCAAAGACCUUGGCGGAGGAAGUUGCUAUUGGAAGUUUGCAAAAUAAAAAGGAAUCGACAUCGUUACAAUAAAUCCAAGAUUGGUGAUUGAUCCUCUCUCACAUCGAACUCUGAACACAAGUAUGGAGCCUAUUCUGAAACUCGUAAAUGGUACUCCUAAGCAAUUAUUUAUAAAACUUCAUUACUCAUUAAUAUAUUGCAUGAUUUUGUCAAGUAAUCAUUCCUACUAGAGAACCUAUUUUGAGGGGUUUGGACGGUGGAUGAUUGUUAAGUUUUGAACGGAGAGCCCAAAGCUAUUCGACCAAAACGAAGAUGGAAAAUCCAGACUACAUAGAUGUUACAGAUUUUUAACAUCAUCGGUGCAACAGUGAGCAGCAACUAGAGCGCAGUGGGUUGAUCAAUUUACAAAAAAAUCCGUGACUCGAGCAGCAACUACGACACUUAUUUAGCUUGUUCGUGCAUCGUAGCAGAUCGAGAUCGACGAAAAAAAUUAAAACCCAAAUACUCAUAUUCUAAACUCUAAAAAAUUGAAAUCAAAUAAAUAAAUAAUUCAUAAAUCGAGUCAUGGAGGAUUCAAAAGUUCAAAAUCACCAUCCAUCAAUAAAAAAAAACUUGUGUUUCUCUAUAAGAGCUAUUAGGUUUUAGCCGGAAUAAAAGUAUGGAUAAAUACGGAGUGAUGAUAGAGUUUAAUUAUAGUGUGUGAGUUUAUAAAUUUGAGUUUUAUUAUUAAUUUUAUUUUGUACUUAAUAGUAAUUAUGCAAUAUGAUAAAAAAGACAAUUAACAUUUAAAAUUUAAAUUAGGUGUAAAAAGAGGUUACAUGAGUUUAAAUAAAAUACCUAUAUUCACAUGAAUUAUAUUUAAACAUCAAAUGAUGAUUAUAUUAAAUAGAUAUAUUCACAAGAAUUAUAUCUAACUAUCAGAUGAUAGUUGUAUGAAAUACAUGUAAGUAUUGUUGGCAAUCUCCAAAUUUUAAUACUAUAGUUGAUUUAGUCGUAGUUUUUAGCAGACUAAAUAAUAUCUUACAUGACCUGUUAGCAUGACAUGUUUCAGUAUUACCCAUGGGUACUUGUUUCAUCCUAUUAAAUGCAUGCACCUUUUAAUAUUUUUAUAUAUCCCCCAUCAAGCCCAUUCCGACCACUCCAUCAUUAACUCCCGAAUUUUAGAAAGACGAAUAGUUUUUAGGGAACUUUAAUAAAAAGCUUACAGUACUGUUUAUUUUAAUGAAAAAUCAUAUUUUUACACUAAAAUGUAAUUUUUCGUUAAAGUAAAUAGUACCGGAAGUUUUUCGUUAAACUUGCCUAGUUUUUAUAGUGCAUGAUUAGAAAUUAUAGUUGGAUAUAACGUCUUGUUGAUUGUUGUUUGGCGCUACUCGUUUCUCUUGAGAUUUCAAGUUCCAUUUGCCAAAAAAAAAAACAUAAUUUCUAAUAUAUGUCACAGCUUAGGUCGUGUCACCCGUUACCUAAGGAGUCAGGUUUGAGUUUGAAUUUCGUCACUCAUUAGCUUAAUGAGUUGACGUGAUGUGAUACAUCUAAAUGACGGGUUAACACAAACACGACAAAUACAACUUGUUUAUCAUGUCUAACUUUAGGGUGAAACCGAUUUAAUUGGGCAUACGGUAGAAAACCUAAUGGUAAAAGUCAAUUAACAUUUUACUUUGACACAUAAACAUGGUUAAUACGAGGAGCGAGGAGCGUGCAAAUGGGAAAAUAUAACAUAUGUCAUCUCCCUGCUCUUUUCUAUCUUUGUAACCAAACACAACCUCACCCUUACCAAACAUAAAUCUUCUUCGCCGCUUCCUCUUCCUUCCGCUCGAACAAAUCAUAACCGGCCACCGCGGCCUCGUCGGCUCUGCCAUUAUCCUGCAAGCUCCAUAUUCUAGGAUUCAACAACCUCGCACCCGCGAAGGUCUCGACCUCACAGGCAAAGCCGGCGUCGAGUCCUUGUUCACCACCAAGCGAGAAGCCCCAACUCGUCAUCCUCACCGCCGCAGAAGACGGUGGCAUUCACUGCUGGGUGGAGUCGACGAUUGGAGUAGUGAUUGUGUGUGGGGUCGACGGAGAAAGCUUAGUGCAACUAAUAAACUCGUGUUUUUUUUCUGUCUGGAAUUCCGACUUGUUGAAUUUUAUCAUUUUGGUUUACAUCUGCCAUGGGAAGAAGAUUAUUAUUUUGGUUUAGGUGGUCUGUCAUGGUAGAUCGGCCAUGGAAAGAAAGGAACAAGAAAAGAUGAAUGCUUGGUUAUUUGGGGCUGUUUGGUUGCUAAGAUAGCAGGGGUGUGGGAGAGAAUUUCAAAUGACAGAUGUUGUAUUCCUGUUGGACCACAUAGCUUAGUGAGUAAGUGUGUACUACCCGGACAACGUAUCAUCCGUGCAAAUGCGCCUCAACUGAACUUUAUCUCCUUCCUCUCUCUCACAUACAGUACACACCCACGCACGCACAGAGAAAAAAGGAGAGACAGCGGAGCCGCGCAGAGAGAGAAAGAGAGACGGCGGAGAGAGAAAGAGAGAGUAGCGUUUCCUUUCAUCUCUUACUUAUCUCCAGUCUCUGCAAAUCAUAACAGCAAGUGGAUUGCAAUUCCUUCAUUUCCAUCCCUCCCGACCCUCUGUUUUCCAGGCAAGCGUUUGUUCCUUCCUCUUUCUCCCAUUUUCUUUUUACCAGUGUUUGGUUAUUAAUAUUAUUGUUAUUAUUUCAAUUUUUUUAUUGUUCCAUUUGAAAACACUGAUAUAUUUUCUUUGUGGGUUAUCUUAUUCCUCGUUUGGCAUCUAGGAUUGGAUUGGAAUGGAUAAACCACUUUCUACCAUUGUUGUGUACCAGAAAUUUUGUUUCUUUUGAUUUCUUAUGUACGAAGAACCCUUUUGGUUAAGGCUAAAUCUGUGCUUUUCACUCAAUUUUGCAUAAGUUCUUAAUCAAUCCUAAUCUCUGAACAAAUGAUUAUUUGUUCUUAUCUCAUGUUUUUAUUUUUUGUAUGAUAGUUCUUUCUUUUUGGUUGAAUUCUUUUUAAUGUUCUUGUGAGUUGUGAUGCGAUCGCUCCCUCUGGCGCCUCUUCCCUGUUGAUGUGUAUAUAUGUAUGUCGUGUCAUUUGGUGAUAAAAGAAAAGGGGCGACCCCAACUCAACAAGGCUCCUCGCUUUGCUAGGGUCGGGGGGACGUCUAUUGUACACAACCUUACCCUUGCUUGCAAAGAGCCUGUUUCCACGACUUGGGCCCGUGACCUUUCGGUCACAAAGGAGCAACCUUUUCGUUGCGCCAAGGCUUGCUCUCUGUCAUUUGGUGUUAUGGUAUCAUAAUUUCUUUGGUUUUUAUUUGGGAGGGUUUUUGUUGUUGAACCAUCUUUUAUUUGUCCGUGAUUGUAUAACUGGAGCAUGAGAAUUUGAUGACUAGGUCAUGGCUGGGUGUUUUGCUUAAGACCCAGCGGAAAGUUCAAUUUUUCUGCAGAGAAACCUAGUGUUUGUUUCAUACACAAUGGAAAAUGUUGUGGAUUCGGAUAGUUAGGUAGGAUUCCGUUAUGGAGAAGAAUUUUGUCUUCUGGUGUUAGGUUGAGUCAACGUGAAAUACAAAAUUGGCAAAUUGAUACUGCUAAGUUUGCUAGUCAUAGAUGUACAAUGUCUUCUCCUUCUGAAUAUGGGACAUGCGGGUUCCUUUUUCCGCUUAUAGAUAUCAGUUUCCUAAGAACACUGCUUUGCACUUUGGUUGAAAUUGUGUUUGCUUGUAUGUGUGGCUAAACUUAGGGCUGAUGCAUGUAUUUUGAACCUUUUACAUGAUUAUGUGACUUAAAUUUGUUUUUGUUUAUAGGUACGACCAUAUGUUCCAGUGAAGAUGAUAAAAAUAGUGGAAACAAGGUCUAGCAUUGUGCUGGUACACUAUUAUCUCUGGUAGAUAAAGUGGGUAGUAUCAUCGCACUUACUUGGAUAGUUGUGCUUCUUUGUGACAGUUUCGCUUCAUCUUGCUCAUAAGAAACCACUAAGGCUGGAAGCGUUUAAUGUGACCCUCGUGCGGAUAGUGAGCCAGAUGGUAUUGUUAUACACUUCAUAAUGUCACCACACAUGUGUAUUGUGUAGGGUGUAAAGAUUGUGAGUGUAAAAUAUGGAGUUGUCUUUGCCCUUCUCAUUGCAAAGGGAUUUUCCCGUCACUUCUCUCAGAUCCAGCUUCCUCCCUUGGAAUCCUCCUUGCUUAUUAGGUACAGUCAAGAGGAAUUAUAAAAACAAUAGGAUCUCAGAAUAUCCCUUUUUCAGUUUCUUGCUCAUCUGUCAAAACUGUCCGCAGUCCUUCACUAGACAAGCAUGUUGUGAAGCAAAACAAGAUACGUUUUGUCCAAAAGCUACAAACACUGCUUCUUUCCAAACCGAAGUGCUAUAUUCCAAUUCAUAUUCUCAAUAAGUGUCGAGCCUACCUUUCCCUAUCAAAGCCACGAUCCAUUCUCUCAAUGAUUCAUCGAUACCCUACUAUUUUUGAACUCUUCUCAAUCCCAACAGCUCCCUUGCCAUCCAAUGCAACUAAAUCAUUAUCACAACUCUGUGUCCGUCUAACCCCAGCUGCGGCAGCCCUUGCUGCUGAGGAAUUAAGUCUCAAAUCAGCCAUCUCUGACUCCUUGGCCACCAAACUCCAGAAACUUCUUAUGCUCUCUUCUCAUCAUCGACUACUUCUGUCAAAGUUGGUUCACCUAGCUCCAGAUCUUGGUCUUCCCCCUAAUUUUCGCUCUCAUCUAUGCAAUGACUAUCCAAAUAAAUUCAAGACUGUUGACACCUCCUAUGGCCGUGCACUUGAGCUUGUCUCCUGGGACCAAGACUUGGCAAAGCCUUUACCAUGUCCAGAAGUUCAGUCACGUGAGUUAAUAGUAGACAGACCUUUGAAAUUCAAGCAGUUGACGCUCCGAAAGGGUCUAAAUUUGAAGAGGCGUCACCAAGAUUUUUUGCUCAAAUUCAAAGAAAUUCCGGAUGUGUGCCCGUACAAUACCCCCAUCUCAGACUUGCCUAAAGAGUCAAUUGAGGCAGAGAAGAGAGCUUGUUUGGUGGUGAGAGAAGUGCUAGGGAUGACGGUUGAAAAGAGAACUUUGAUAGACCACUUGACUCAUUUUAGGAAUGAUUUUGUGCUGUCCAACAAGUUGAGAGGGAUGAUCAUACGGCACCCGGAGUUAUUCUAUGUGAGCUUGAAAGGGCAGAGAGAUUCAGUGUUUUUAGUGGAGGGUUUUGAUGACAAGGGUGCACUGUUGGAGAAGAAAGAGGCUUUGGUGAUAAAGGAAAAGUUGAUGCGGUUGGUUAGAGAAAGCAAGAGACUAAGAAGAGAGAGGAAGAAAGCUAGGAUUAACAACACUGAGAUUGGUGGCUCUAGUGAUGACUUUGAGUCCGAUGGUGAUGAUGAUGAUGACGACUAUGAUGACGGUUUUCAGAGUUUGUUUGAGCCUGAAGAUUUUUAUGUGGAUGAUGAUGUUGAUAAGAAGGGUGAGAUAAUUGACUACAGGGAGAAAGGGCAGUUUUGGACUGUUGAUGCUCAUUUUGUUCAUGAUGGCGGGAAGCAACAAAUGGAAC
RNAcentral lists this long non-coding RNA (44378 nucleotides) under Malus domestica (apple). Its description in RNAcentral is "long non-coding RNA (MDOM_LNC003524)". Lineage: Eukaryota; Viridiplantae; Streptophyta; Magnoliopsida; Rosales; Rosaceae. The record is from RNAcentral.